UAUAGAUGUCCUUAUCUUUGUUCUUAGGAG
Molecule: non-coding RNA, 30 nt
Filed under: Rattus norvegicus (Norway rat)
Lineage: Eukaryota; Metazoa; Chordata; Mammalia; Rodentia; Muridae
Source: RNAcentral